Molecule: ribosomal RNA, 253 nt
Filed under: uncultured bacterium
Lineage: Bacteria
Description: partial 16S ribosomal RNA
Rfam family: Bacterial small subunit ribosomal RNA
Source: RNAcentral
UACGUAGGGUGCGAGCGUUGUCCGGAAUUAUUGGGCGUAAAGAGCUUGUAGGCGGUCUGUUGCGUCAGGAGUGAAAACUCGGGGCUUAACCCCGAGCCUGCUUCUGAUACGGGCAGACUAGAGGUAUGCAGGGGAGAACGGAAUUCCUGGUGUAGCGGUGAAAUGCGCAGAUAUCAGGAGGAACACCGGUGGCGAAGGCGGUUCUCUGGGCAUUACCUGACGCUGAGGAGCGAAAGUGUGGGGAGCGAACAGG